AAUAAGGGUCGACCACUGUAUAAAUACCUUCCCUAGACCCCUAGGGAGGGGGUUAGAAAUCAAAGAGAGAGUCAUAACACUUGAUCCUAAGGAGGAAGUGUAUUUGAGUGUGUGAGCAUCAGCGUGUAAGGCUCACAUACCAGCAGGUCGUCUUGCCUCGGCCAUAAAACGGGGCGAGGCCGAAUCAACCAUAAUUAGAUUUCCUCAAUCGUCUGCGUCCCUCUGUCUCGUCGUCGUCGAUCAUCCGUUGAAGUCCAAAAUGGUACAUUCGUUUCUUUACUUUUUGAAAUACUUCUAAAUGUACAUCUGAACUUCUGCAACGAAAUCCUUCCCUUUUUUUUGGAUAUUUGUAUUCAUUAUUCUUUUUCAUUUAGGGUUUUUCCGCUUCUAUUUUAAUAUCAGUGAUUUUUUGUUCUAUUUCAUUUUCUUUAAAUGUGCUUUUUACCAGUUCUUUAUGAUAAAUAGUUCGGCCGAUGGUGUUUCCUUUCCCCCACCUUUGUUACCACGGUCAUACUCUUCCCCCAGUUCCAAUGUGGCAUUCCAUUUUAGGAAGUGGUUUGAGUGACGUGAGAGAGUACGUCCUUCCCACUCUGUUAGGACUCCUUCGUAAUGGAUCAAAUGGAUUAUGCAGCAUGGUAGGGACUCUAGCUAUUCGCUUCCCUACGCUCUUGAUUCUGGAAUGUAUCUCUUGGUCGUUUCCUCAGAUGUUCUCGUUCUCCAAUGAAUCUACUAUCUAUUGGUGAUGUACUUCCCGUUACGUUGCGUUGAGGUACGACAUGCUGAAUUUGGUCCUUUUCGACGAUAUGUUUCGAUUGGUUAAUCUUUUAAGAAUUUGUGUUAUGUUGUGGUGUGGAUUAUAGGGCUUUGAAUGCUUUAACCAUCAAGGAUAAUAUCUAAUUCCCACGGUUGAUGAGAUGUUAGAAGAAUUAAAAGGGUCUACUAUUUAUUCAAUGUUGGAUUUGAGAUUUGGGUUUCAUCAGAUCACAGUGAACCCUAAUCAUACUAAUUAAGAGGACUACAUUUAGAACACAUCAAGGGCACUUUGAGUUUUUUGUGAUGUCCUUUGGGCUAACUAAUGCCCCAUCUACCUUCCAAUCAAUUAUAAAUUCUGUUUUCUCUCAGUAUUUGAGGAAGUUUAUGAUAGUAUUUUUUGAUGAUAUAUUGAUAUAUAGUGCCUCUGUGCUAGAACAUAUUAAACAUCUGAAGUGUGUGUUUGAGCUACUCCAGGACUAAUAAACUUAUUGUGAAACUUUUCAAGUGCUCAUUUAGGAAAGAUUAUAUGACAUUUCUAAGGCAUGUUGUUGUAGAAGAUGGAGUCAAUCCUGAAUAAGAUAAGAUUAAAGCCAUGGUGGAAUGGCUAAGACCUAAAAAUUUAAAAAUGCUAAGAGGAUUUUUAGGACUUACCAGUUAUUACAGGAGAUUCAUCAAGGGUUAUGUCUCUAUUGCAACACCCAUGACUGACCUUCUGAGAAAAGACAACUUCAAUUGGGGAGAUGAAGCCUCUAUCUGUUUUGAAAUUUUAAAAUCAACCAUGGUGACUGUUGAGACAGAUACAUAUGUAAGAAUGGGAUAGGAUCGAAUUGUCUUUAGUCAAAAAUCUCAUCCUAUCAGCUUCAAUUCUUCAGGAUUAUGGCAACCUCAAUCUAUGUGAAUAAAAUGUAUGUCAUUACUCAAGUUGUAAGUAAAUGGAGACAUUACUUGUUAUUGGGAUCCCACUUUAUAAUCAAAAUUGAUCAUAAGAGCUUAAAAAAUUUAUUCUAACUCUCAAUAAUUUAUAAUCGUUUCAUUUUUCCUUUGUAAGCUACUGGGAUUUGAAUUAUCUAUUGUCUAUCAACCAAGGAAAGAAAAUAUUAUGGCUGUUGCAUUAUCAAGGAGUUUUGAAAAUGAUAAAAAACAUGUUAUUUUUGCAGGGCGCGAUUUUGGGACGGCCGCCAUUUAAAAAAAAAAAAAAAAAAAAGAUUUUCACAUCUAGAUUUUGGAUGAAAUUAAACACUCUCAUCACCCCCAAUAAGAUGGGCAAACUGAGACUGUGAAUAAGACAUUAAAGAUGUACAUAAGAUCUUAUUGUCACGAGAACCCUAAUAGGUUGUUGAAAUUGUUACCUUGGGUUGAAUUGUGGAACAAUUCAAGCUAUCAUUCUUCUUUAGAAAUGACACCAUUACAAUCACAAAACUACACAAGCCUAAAAUGCUAUUAUAAUUCAUAACUAAAAAAAAAAUGCUUGUUUAAAAUAAAAAUAAAAUUGAAAAACUGAUUAUUAAUAAAUCAAAAUCGGCUUUUCCGUUUUCGGGCUGUGUAUUUUGUAUCAGGAGGCACUGAACAUUCUCUAUUUCUCAUUUGUUGUUUCUUCUUCAGCACCCAUUCUUUCCCCUUCACAUUCUUCGUUAUUUUCAUCUUUUUCCUUGCCCUGUUUCGCUCAGACAUGCAAACCUGAAAUACAAAAUAGAAAUAGAAAGAAAUUUAAAAUAUCAAUUUUCAAUGAAUAUUUUGUUUUAAAGAACAUAAAAGUUUUUUAAAAAAUGGAUGUCAAUGUGGGCUUACUGUAUGAUUUUUUUCAUCCUCACUAUCAUCACCAUCACUGCAGGUUUCUCCAUCUACACCUUUUGCCUUUGGAAGUGAAGAAAUAAAAGAUGUCGAACCACAAGUGAGCACAAGAUAAGCUUUCCUAGCUUUUGAACUGCAACACGUAACAAUACGAAAAAAUAAAGCGUGUAUCUUUUUAAUGGCAAUGGUUAUAAACAUUAAAUAAUGUUUUCGAUCCAGAUACCUGUGAGGCCAAUCGACAACCAUACCGCCAGCAAACCCAGAUCGCAUAGCAUAAGACAUGAU
This 2829-nucleotide long non-coding RNA is filed under the name Zostera marina. RNAcentral describes it as "long non-coding RNA (ZMAR_LNC004564)". The record is from RNAcentral. Lineage: Eukaryota; Viridiplantae; Streptophyta; Magnoliopsida; Alismatales; Zosteraceae.